GUCCACGCCGUAAACUAUGGGUGCUAGCCGUCAGGAAGCUUGCUUUUUGGUGGCGCAGCUAACGCAUUAAGCACCCCGCCUGGGGAGUACGGUCGCAAGAUUAAAACUCAAAGGAAUUGACGGGGGCCCCGCACAAGCGGUGGAGCAUGUGGUUUAAUUCGAAGCAACGCGCAGAACCUUACCUACCCUUGACAUGUCUAGUAUGGGCACCAGAGAUGGAGUCCUUCAGUUCGGCUGGCUAGAACACAGGUGCUGCAUGGCUGUCGU
This 267-nucleotide ribosomal RNA is filed under the name uncultured bacterium. RNAcentral describes it as "partial 16S ribosomal RNA". It matches the Rfam family "Bacterial small subunit ribosomal RNA", at positions 793 to 1055 of the family's 1533-position model. The record is from RNAcentral.